This 253-nucleotide ribosomal RNA is filed under the name uncultured bacterium. RNAcentral describes it as "partial 16S ribosomal RNA". It matches the Rfam family "Bacterial small subunit ribosomal RNA", at positions 524 to 776 of the family's 1533-position model. The record is from RNAcentral.
UACGUAGGUGGCAAGCGUUGUCCGGAUUUACUGGGCGUAAAGGGCGUGCAGGCGGUCUGUUAAGUCUAGGGUGAAAGCUCCCGGCUCAACUGGGAGAGGUCCUUGGAUACUGGCGGACUUGAGGGAGGCAGAGGAAAGUGGAAUUCCUGGUGUAGCGGUGAAAUGCGCAGAUAUCAGGAGGAACACCAAUUGCGAAGGCAGCUCGCUGGGACGUUACUGACGCUGAGACGCGAAAGCGUGGGGAGCAAACAGG